GAUGAACGCUGGCGGCGUGCCUAAUACAUGCAAGUCGAGCGAACAGAUGAGGAGCUUGCUCCUCUGACGUUAGCGGCGGACAGGUGAGUAACACGUGGAUAACCUACCUAUAAGACUGGGAUAACUUCGGGAAACCGGAGCUAAUACCGGAUAAUAUAUUGAACCGCAUGGUUCAAUAGUGAAAGACGGUUUUGCUGUCACUUAUAGAUGGAUCCGCGCCGCAUUAGCUAGUUGGUAAGGUAACGGCUUACCAAGGCAACGAUGCGUAGCCGACCUGAGAGGGUGAUCGGCCACACUGGAACUGAGACACGGUCCAGACUCCUACGGGAGGCAGCAGUAGGGAAUCUUCCGCAAUGGGCGAAAGCCUGACGGAGCAACGCCGCGUGAGUGAUGAAGGUCUUCGGAUCGUAAAACUCUGUUAUUAGGGAAGAACAAAUGUGUAAGUAACUAUGCACGUCUUGACGGUACCUAAUCAGAAAGCCACGGCUAACUACGUG
This 497-nucleotide ribosomal RNA is filed under the name uncultured bacterium. RNAcentral's name for it is "partial 16S ribosomal RNA". It matches the Rfam family "Bacterial small subunit ribosomal RNA", at positions 28 to 507 of the family's 1533-position model. The record is from RNAcentral.